RNAcentral lists this ribosomal RNA (433 nucleotides) under uncultured bacterium. RNAcentral describes it as "partial 16S ribosomal RNA". It matches the Rfam family "Bacterial small subunit ribosomal RNA", at positions 29 to 507 of the family's 1533-position model. The record is from RNAcentral.
AACGAACGCUGGCGGCACGCCUAACACAUGCAAGUCGAACGAGACCUUCGGGUCUAGUGGCGCACGGGUGCGUAACGCGUGGGAACCUGCCCUUAGGUUCGGAAUAACUCCCCGAAAGGGGUGCUAAUACCGGAUAAUGUCUUCGGACCAAAGAUUUAUCGCCUUUGGAUGGGCCCGCGUUGGAUUAGCUAGUUGGUAGGGUAAAAGCCUACCAAGGCGACGAUCCAUAGCUGGUCUGAGAGGAUGAUCAGCCACACUGGGACUGAGACACGGCCCAGACUCCUACGGGAGGCAGCAGUGGGGAAUAUUGGACAAUGGGCGAGAGCCUGAUCCAGCGAUGCCGCGUGAGUGAUGAAGGCCUUAGGGUUGUAAAGCUCUUUUACCCGGGAUGAUAAUGACAGUACCGGGAGAAUAAGCUCCGGCUAACUCCGUG